GACGAACGCUGGCGGCGUGCUUAACACAUGCAAGUCGAACGAUGAAGCUGGAGCUUGCUUUGGUGGAUUAGUGGCGAACGGGUGAGUAACACGUGAGUAACCUGCCCUUCACUCUGGGAUAAGCCUGGGAAACUGGGUCUAAUACUGGAUAUGACUGCGCAUCGCAUGGUGUCGUGGUGGAAAGAUUUUUUGGUGGGGGAUGGACUCGCGGACUAUCAGCUUGUUGGUGGGGUAAUGGCUCACCAAGGCUUUGACGGUUAGCCGGCCUGAGAGGGUGACCGGCCACACUGGGACUGAGACACGGCCCAGACUCCUACGGGAGGCAGCAGUGGGGAAUAUUGCACAAUGGGCGAAAGCCUGAUGCAGCGACGCCGCGUGCGGGAUGAAGGCCUUCGGGUUGUAAACCGCUUUCGUCAGGGACGAAGCCUUUUGGUGACGGUACCUGGAGAAGAAGCACCGGCUAACUACGUGCCAGCAGCCGCCGUAACAC
This 490-nucleotide ribosomal RNA is filed under the name uncultured bacterium. Its description in RNAcentral is "bacterial SSU rRNA". It matches the Rfam family "Bacterial small subunit ribosomal RNA", at positions 28 to 526 of the family's 1533-position model. The record is from RNAcentral.